GCCUUCGUGGUGUAGUGGUUAGCACUCUCGACGCGUAUUCGAGAGAUCUGUGGUUCGAAUCCACGCGAGGGCA
This is a non-coding RNA of Stegodyphus dumicola, 73 nucleotides long. The record is from the annotation of a RefSeq genome assembly. Lineage: Eukaryota; Metazoa; Arthropoda; Arachnida; Araneae; Eresidae.